CCGGGCGCACGGGUGAGUAACGCGUAUGCGACCUGCCCGUUGCAGGGGGGAUAAUCGGGAGAAAUCCCGUCUAAUACCGCGUAACGCCGCGGGGCUGCAUGGCCCUGCGGCCAAAGGGAGCGAUUCCGGCAACGGAUGGGCAUGCGUGACAUUAGCUAGUUGGCGGGGCAACGGCCCACCAAGGCGACGAUGUCUAGGGGUUCUGAGAGGAAGGUCCCCCACACUGGUACUGAGACACGGACCAGACUCCUACGGAAGGCAGCAG
This 265-nucleotide ribosomal RNA is filed under the name uncultured bacterium. RNAcentral describes it as "partial 16S ribosomal RNA". It matches the Rfam family "Bacterial small subunit ribosomal RNA", at positions 94 to 354 of the family's 1533-position model. The record is from RNAcentral.